This 363-nucleotide ribosomal RNA is filed under the name uncultured bacterium. RNAcentral describes it as "bacterial SSU rRNA". It matches the Rfam family "Bacterial small subunit ribosomal RNA", at positions 438 to 793 of the family's 1533-position model. The record is from RNAcentral.
AGCAGUGAGGAAGGUGGGUAUGUUAAUAGCAUACUCAUUUGACGUUAGCUGCAGAAGAAGCACCGGCUAACUCCGUGCCAGCAGCCGCGGUAAUACGGAGGGUGCGAGCGUUAAUCGGAAUUACUGGGCGUAAAGCGCAUGCAGGUGGUUUGUUAAGUCAGAUGUGAAAGCCCGGGGCUCCAACCUCGGAAUUGCAUUUGAAACUGGCAAACUAGAGUACUGUAGAGGGGGUAGAAUUUCAGGUGUAGCGGUGAAAUGCGUAGAGAUCUGAAGGAAUACCGGUGGCGAAGGCGGCCCCCUGGACAGAUACUGACACUCAGAUGCGAAAGCGUGGGGAGCAAACAGGAUUAGAUACCCUGGUAG